Molecule: transfer RNA, 67 nt
Filed under: Ictidomys tridecemlineatus (thirteen-lined ground squirrel)
Lineage: Eukaryota; Metazoa; Chordata; Mammalia; Rodentia; Sciuridae
Description: Spermophilus tridecemlineatus (thirteen-lined ground squirrel) tRNA
Rfam family: tRNA
About the family: Transfer RNA (tRNA) molecules are approximately 80 nucleotides in length. Their secondary structure includes four short double-helical elements and three loops (D, anti-codon, and T loops). Further hydrogen bonds mediate the characteristic L-shaped molecular structure. tRNAs have two regions of fundamental functional importance: the anti-codon, which is responsible for specific mRNA codon recognition, and the 3' end, to which the tRNAs corresponding amino acid is attached (by aminoacyl-tRNA synthetases). tRNAs cope with the degeneracy of the genetic code in two manners: having more than one tRNA (with a specific anti-codon) for a particular amino acid; and 'wobble' base-pairing, i.e. permitting non-standard base-pairing at the 3rd anti-codon position.
Source: Rfam by way of RNAcentral
GGGGAUAUAGCUCAGUUGGUAGAGUACUUGCCUCAUAUGCAAGCCCUGGGUUCAAUCCCUAGCACCA